This 500-nucleotide ribosomal RNA is filed under the name uncultured Glomeromycotina. RNAcentral's name for it is "partial small subunit ribosomal RNA". It matches the Rfam family "Eukaryotic small subunit ribosomal RNA", at positions 591 to 1092 of the family's 1831-position model. The record is from RNAcentral. Lineage: Eukaryota; Fungi; Glomeromycota.
CCAAUAGCGUAUAUUAAAGUUGUUGCAGUUAAAAAGCUCGUAGUUGAAUUUCGGGGUUAGUAGGUUGGUCAUGCCUCUGGUAUGUACUGGUCUCACUGAUUCCUCCUUCCUGAUGAGCUGUAAUGCCAUUAAUUUGGUGUUGCAGGGAAUCUGGACUGUUACUUUGAAAAAAUUAGAGUGUUUAAAGCAGGCUAACGCUUGAAUCCAUUAGCAUGGAAUAAUGAAAGAGGACGUUCGAUCCUAUUUUGUUGGUUUCUAGGAUUGACGUAAUGAUUAAUAGGGAUAGUUGGGGGCAUUAGUAUUCAAUUGUCAGAGGUGAAAUUCUUGGAUUUAUUGAAGACUAACUACUGCGAAAGCAUUUGUCAAGGAUGUUUUCAUUAAUCAAGAACGAAAGUUAGGGGAUCGAAGACGGUCAGAUACCGUCGUAGUCUUAACCAUAAACUAUGCCGACUAGGGAUCGGAUGAUGUUAAUUUUUUAAUGACUCAUUCGGCGCCUUACG